This 59-nucleotide transfer RNA is filed under the name Fusarium pseudograminearum CS3220. Its description in RNAcentral is "tRNA-Thr". RNAcentral also lists the same sequence under 4 other names. The record is from RNAcentral. Lineage: Eukaryota; Fungi; Ascomycota; Sordariomycetes; Hypocreales; Nectriaceae.
ACCUUUAUUAGGAUCUAUAGUGUCCGGUUUUUUUGGUAGAAAAGUCGGUGUUACAGGUA